Molecule: ribosomal RNA, 253 nt
Filed under: uncultured bacterium
Lineage: Bacteria
Description: partial 16S ribosomal RNA
Rfam family: Bacterial small subunit ribosomal RNA
Source: RNAcentral
UACGAAGGGGGCGAGCGUUGUUCGGAUUUACUGGGCGUAAAGGGCGCGUAGGCGGCCCUCCUUGUCGCGUGUGAAAGCCCUGGGCUCAACCUGGGAAUGGCAGUGGAUACUGGCAAGCUAGAGUGCGGUAGAGGGUAGUGGAAUUCCCGGUGUAGCAGUGAAAUGCGUAGAGAUCGGGAGGAGCACCAGUGGCGAAGGCGGCUACCUGGACCAGCACUGACACUGAGGCACGAAAGCGUGGGGAGCAAACAGG